This 86-nucleotide transfer RNA is filed under the name Colletotrichum navitas. Its description in RNAcentral is "tRNA-Glu". It matches the Rfam family "tRNA". From Rfam's summary of the family: Transfer RNA (tRNA) molecules are approximately 80 nucleotides in length. The record is from RNAcentral. Lineage: Eukaryota; Fungi; Ascomycota; Sordariomycetes; Glomerellales; Glomerellaceae.
UCCGAUAUGGUGUAGUGGCCAACAUGAUGCCCUCUCAUUCGAUGAGAGGUUAGGCAUAGCCCCGAGUUCGAUUCUCGGUUUCGGAA